UGCCCAUACUUUCUGCCCACCUGUGGGUUGACACUUGACAGAAUUCCAAGUAUCCGAUACGGUACUAAAGUGGAUUUAAACAUGUGGUGACGUCUUGAUUCCCGGUGGUGUGCUAGUUGGUGAGCUAUUCACAAGGUGAUUGCAAGCAUAGGGCGCCCUGCAGUUAUUUUCACCAUCUUCAGAGGAUAUCAUGACAAAAGUUUCCUGCCUGUCUUCAACCUCCAGCAUGACCAUUCAAACAUGUGCUUGUUAUUACACGGUUUAGGGCUGGGCUAUGUUUUGGUAGUUGCCACGGUCUCACCACACACUAUAUGCAAGUGAUUCUGAUUUGAU
RNAcentral lists this long non-coding RNA (333 nucleotides) under Hordeum vulgare. Its description in RNAcentral is "long non-coding RNA (HVUL_LNC000747)". The record is from RNAcentral. Lineage: Eukaryota; Viridiplantae; Streptophyta; Magnoliopsida; Poales; Poaceae.